UGUGGCUGUGGCUCAGUGGAAGAGCGCUUGCCUAGCACGUGUGAGGCACUGGGUUCGAUCCUCAGGAUCAUAU
Molecule: transfer RNA, 73 nt
Filed under: Marmota monax (woodchuck)
Lineage: Eukaryota; Metazoa; Chordata; Mammalia; Rodentia; Sciuridae
Description: tRNA.Ala
Source: RNAcentral